GCCCCGGUUGCUUAGCCUGGUAGAGCACCGGACUUGUAAUCCGGCGGUCGCGGGUUCAAAUCCCGCCCGGGGCUCCA
This 77-nucleotide transfer RNA is filed under the name Methanobacteriota archaeon. RNAcentral's name for it is "Euryarchaeota archaeon tRNA-Thr". It matches the Rfam family "tRNA". Rfam says of the family: Transfer RNA (tRNA) molecules are approximately 80 nucleotides in length. Their secondary structure includes four short double-helical elements and three loops (D, anti-codon, and T loops). RNAcentral also lists the same sequence under 1 other name. Lineage: Archaea; Methanobacteriati; Methanobacteriota. The record is from RNAcentral.